This 605-nucleotide ribosomal RNA is filed under the name uncultured Bacteroidota bacterium. Its description in RNAcentral is "bacterial SSU rRNA". It matches the Rfam family "Bacterial small subunit ribosomal RNA", at positions 315 to 916 of the family's 1533-position model. Lineage: Bacteria; Pseudomonadati; Bacteroidota. The record is from RNAcentral.
CGUACUGAGACACGGACCAGACUCCUACGGGAGGCAGCAGUGAGGAAUAUUGGACAAUGGGAGCAAUCCUGAUCCAGCCAUGCCGCGUGCAGGAAGACUGCCCUAUGGGUUGUAAACUGCUUUUAUACAGGAAGAAAAAGGUGUACGUGUACAUUGUUGACGGUACUGUAAGAAUAAGGAUCGGCUAAUUCCGUGCCAGCAGCCGCGGUAACACGGAGGAUCCAAGCGUUAUCCGGAAUCAUUGGGUUUAAAGGGUCCGUAGGCGGGACAAUAAGUCAGUGGUGAAAGUCUGCAGCUCAACUGUAGAAUUGCCAUUGAUACUGUUGUUCUUGAGUGCUUGUGAAGUGGUUAGAAUGAGUAGUGUAGCGGUGAAAUGCAUAGAUAUUACUCAGAAUACCGAUUGCGAAGGCAGAUCACUAACAAUUCACUGACGCUGAUGGACGAAAGCGUAGGUAGCGAACAGGAUUAGAUACCCUGGUAGUCUACGCCGUAAACGAUGGUUACUAGCUGUUCGGACCAAUUGAGGUCUGAGUGGCCAAGCGAAAGUGAUAAGUAACCCACCUGGGGAGUACGUUCGCAAGAAUGAAACUCAAAGGAAUUGACGG